CCGGGGAAGCUUCUCGGCGCUCUGCGCGCUCGCCUGCCAGCCCUGCCGUCGCAGGCCUGCGCUCGGAGCGCCUGGAGGCCCUGCCCGGGCCCAGGAGCAUUGUGAGCUAGGACGGGACUGCUAGGAGACAGACGCAGAGACCGGCGUCGGAAAGAGAGGCCAGGCAGGAAGAGCGAACACCUCUAAGCCACCAGCCUGUCCGACCACACAGCUGCCACAAGCACAGCCUCCGACCACCGACAGUCGAGCUUUUUGAUCCGCUCCCUCCCCAACCAAAAAAAGCUACGCAGCUACAAGUAAGAGCUCAUUUAAUGAGUUUCUUCUCCUUGGAUUUUGAUGAACUGAAGCAUUUGAUUCCUGAUCCACUUCCUACCUGCCCUAGGUAAUUCCUUAGUAUAUACUUAUGUCUUCUUAUAAAUAACCGAUCAUGUUACUUUCUUUUUCAAGAGAAGAUCAACACUGAUUGUUUGAAACAGACAGUACAGAGACACACAUGCAUCAGGUCUAGGAGGAAGAUCUCACACCUUUCCCAGAGAUGCAGCCCGAUUGCUUCCUAUCUGCUGAGUUUACUGGCUGGCUUAUUCUUCCCUGGGGGAGUUUUGGAGCUGGCUGAGUGGUGAUGGAGGCUGCCAGAUCCUUUGGGACCAUUCUUGCUGGGUUUGCAAUGCUCCUGUUGGCAGGACCUCCUGGAUGACGACGAUCCUGAGUGGCUGGGGGGUGACUUGCUUCUCCCCAGAUGCGGGGACGAACUCCUCUGCUCAUGGUGGGGCCGUCCAGCCCUAGACGGUGAGGAACUAGAUGUUCGGGGCAAGGAUGAGCUUCGAGGAGAGGCACUGGGACUCCUGCGAGGUCUUCCUAUGUAGCCCACACUGGUCAGUAUGUAACCCAGGCCAAGCUGGCCUAAGCUUGACAUUUUCCUGCCUCAGCUUCCCAGGGCUUUAUGCAUCAUCCCAGGACAGCUAUGAAUGAGGCCGACAUACUUGUUGAGGACAACAAAUGACACUGUCAAUAGGUUGAUGAUUGUGGUACAUGGUACCAGUAUGAGUUUGAAAUUUCUGAAUAAUAAAUUCUCAGUAAAACCAA
This is a non-coding RNA of Peromyscus maniculatus bairdii (prairie deer mouse), 1083 nucleotides long. The record is from RefSeq and is a predicted model, not a curated record. NCBI's taxonomy places the organism in Eukaryota, Metazoa, Chordata, Mammalia, Rodentia, Cricetidae.